UACGUAGGGGGCUAGCGUUGUCCGGAAUCAUUGGGCGUAAAGAGCGUGUAGGCGGUCCGGUAAGUCCGCUGUGAAAGUCGGGGGCUCAACCCUCGAAUGCCGGUGGAUACUGUCGGGCUAGAGUGCGGAAGAGGCGAGUGGAAUUCCUGGUGUAGCGGUGAAAUGCGCAGAUAUCAGGAGGAACACCUAUUGCGAAGGCAGCUCGCUGGGACGUAACUGACGCUGAGACGCGAAAGCGUGGGUAGCAAACAGG
This 253-nucleotide ribosomal RNA is filed under the name uncultured bacterium. RNAcentral describes it as "partial 16S ribosomal RNA". It matches the Rfam family "Bacterial small subunit ribosomal RNA", at positions 524 to 776 of the family's 1533-position model. The record is from RNAcentral.